Molecule: ribosomal RNA, 209 nt
Filed under: uncultured bacterium
Lineage: Bacteria
Description: partial 16S ribosomal RNA
Rfam family: Bacterial small subunit ribosomal RNA
Source: RNAcentral
UGCGUAGGUGGCCUUUUAAGUUGGAUGUGAAAUACCCGGGCUUAACUUGGGGGUGCAUCUAAUACUGGAGGGCUAGAGUGCAGGAGAGGAAAGCGGAAUUCCUAGUGUAGCGGUGAAAUGCGUAGAUAUUAGGAGGAACACCAGUGGCGAAGGCGGCUUUCUGGACUGUAACUGACACUGAGGCACGAAAGACGUGGGGAGGCAAAACA